This 65-nucleotide transfer RNA is filed under the name Uromyces viciae-fabae. RNAcentral's name for it is "tRNA-iMet (CAT) (tRNA-iMet-CAT-2-1)". It matches the Rfam family "tRNA". From Rfam's summary of the family: Transfer RNA (tRNA) molecules are approximately 80 nucleotides in length. Their secondary structure includes four short double-helical elements and three loops (D, anti-codon, and T loops). Lineage: Eukaryota; Fungi; Basidiomycota; Pucciniomycetes; Pucciniales; Pucciniaceae. The record is from RNAcentral.
AGCGAGAUGGCGCAGCUGGUAGCGCGCUGGGCUCAUAACCCAGAGGUCGUCACUGACUCUCGCUA